RNAcentral lists this ribosomal RNA (2901 nucleotides) under Escherichia coli DEC10F. RNAcentral describes it as "bacterial LSU rRNA". It matches the Rfam family "Bacterial large subunit ribosomal RNA". Lineage: Bacteria; Pseudomonadati; Pseudomonadota; Gammaproteobacteria; Enterobacterales; Enterobacteriaceae. The record is from RNAcentral.
UUAAGCGACUAAGCGUACACGGUGGAUGCCCUGGCAGUCAGAGGCGAUGAAGGACGUGCUAAUCUGCGAUAAGCGUCGGUAAGGUGAUAUGAACCGUUAUAACCGGCGAUUUCCGAAUGGGGAACCCAGUGUGUUUCGACACACUAUCAUUAACUGAAUCCAUAGGUUAAUGAGGCGAACCGGGGGAACUGAAACAUCUAAGUACCCCGAGGAAAAGAAAUCAACCGAGAUUCCCCCAGUAGCGGCGAGCGAACGGGGAGCAGCCCAGAGCCUGAAUCAGUGUGUGUGUUAGUGGAAGCGUCUGGAAAGGCGCGCGAUACAGGGUGACAGCCCCGUACACAAAAAUGCACAUGCUGUGAGCUCGAUGAGUAGGGCGGGACACGUGGUAUCCUGUCUGAAUAUGGGGGGACCAUCCUCCAAGGCUAAAUACUCCUGACUGACCGAUAGUGAACCAGUACCGUGAGGGAAAGGCGAAAAGAACCCCGGCGAGGGGAGUGAAAAAGAACCUGAAACCGUGUACGUACAAGCAGUGGGAGCACGCUUAGGCGUGUGACUGCGUACCUUUUGUAUAAUGGGUCAGCGACUUAUAUUCUGUAGCAAGGUUAACCGAAUAGGGGAGCCGAAGGGAAACCGAGUCUUAACUGGGCGUUAAGUUGCAGGGUAUAGACCCGAAACCCGGUGAUCUAGCCAUGGGCAGGUUGAAGGUUGGGUAACACUAACUGGAGGACCGAACCGACUAAUGUUGAAAAAUUAGCGGAUGACUUGUGGCUGGGGGUGAAAGGCCAAUCAAACCGGGAGAUAGCUGGUUCUCCCCGAAAGCUAUUUAGGUAGCGCCUCGUGAAUUCAUCUCCGGGGGUAGAGCACUGUUUCGGCAAGGGGGUCAUCCCGACUUACCAACCCGAUGCAAACUGCGAAUACCGGAGAAUGUUAUCACGGGAGACACACGGCGGGUGCUAACGUCCGUCGUGAAGAGGGAAACAACCCAGACCGCCAGCUAAGGUCCCAAAGUCAUGGUUAAGUGGGAAACGAUGUGGGAAGGCCCAGACAGCCAGGAUGUUGGCUUAGAAGCAGCCAUCAUUUAAAGAAAGCGUAAUAGCUCACUGGUCGAGUCGGCCUGCGCGGAAGAUGUAACGGGGCUAAACCAUGCACCGAAGCUGCGGCAGCGACGCUGAUGCGUUGUUGGGUAGGGGAGCGUUCUGUAAGCCUGCGAAGGUGUGCUGUGAGGCAUGCUGGAGGUAUCAGAAGUGCGAAUGCUGACAUAAGUAACGAUAAAGCGGGUGAAAAGCCCGCUCGCCGGAAGACCAAGGGUUCCUGUCCAACGUUAAUCGGGGCAGGGUGAGUCGACCCCUAAGGCGAGGCCGAAAGGCGUAGUCGAUGGGAAACAGGUUAAUAUUCCUGUACUUGGUGUUACUGCGAAGGGGGGACGGAGAAGGCUAUGUUGGCCGGGCGACGGUUGUCCCGGUUUAAGCGUGUAGGCUGGUUUUCCAGGCAAAUCCGGAAAAUCAAGGCUGAGGCGUGAUGACGAGGCACUACGGUGCUGAAGCAACAAAUGCCCUGCUUCCAGGAAAAGCCUCUAAGCAUCAGGUAACAUCAAAUCGUACCCCAAACCGACACAGGUGGUCAGGUAGAGAAUACCAAGGCGCUUGAGAGAACUCGGGUGAAGGAACUAGGCAAAAUGGUGCCGUAACUUCGGGAGAAGGCACGCUGAUAUGUAGGUGAAGUCCCUCGCGGAUGGAGCUGAAAUCAGUCGAAGAUACCAGCUGGCUGCAACUGUUUAUUAAAAACACAGCACUGUGCAAACACGAAAGUGGACGUAUACGGUGUGACGCCUGCCCGGUGCCGGAAGGUUAAUUGAUGGGGUUAGCGCAAGCGAAGCUCUUGAUCGAAGCCCCGGUAAACGGCGGCCGUAACUAUAACGGUCCUAAGGUAGCGAAAUUCCUUGUCGGGUAAGUUCCGACCUGCACGAAUGGCGUAAUGAUGGCCAGGCUGUCUCCACCCGAGACUCAGUGAAAUUGAACUCGCUGUGAAGAUGCAGUGUACCCGCGGCAAGACGGAAAGACCCCGUGAACCUUUACUAUAGCUUGACACUGAACAUUGAGCCUUGAUGUGUAGGAUAGGUGGGAGGCUUUGAAGUGUGGACGCCAGUCUGCAUGGAGCCGACCUUGAAAUACCACCCUUUAAUGUUUGAUGUUCUAACGUUGACCCGUAAUCCGGGUUGCGGACAGUGUCUGGUGGGUAGUUUGACUGGGGCGGUCUCCUCCUAAAGAGUAACGGAGGAGCACGAAGGUUGGCUAAUCCUGGUCGGACAUCAGGAGGUUAGUGCAAUGGCAUAAGCCAGCUUGACUGCGAGCGUGACGGCGCGAGCAGGUGCGAAAGCAGGUCAUAGUGAUCCGGUGGUUCUGAAUGGAAGGGCCAUCGCUCAACGGAUAAAAGGUACUCCGGGGAUAACAGGCUGAUACCGCCCAAGAGUUCAUAUCGACGGCGGUGUUUGGCACCUCGAUGUCGGCUCAUCACAUCCUGGGGCUGAAGUAGGUCCCAAGGGUAUGGCUGUUCGCCAUUUAAAGUGGUACGCGAGCUGGGUUUAGAACGUCGUGAGACAGUUCGGUCCCUAUCUGCCGUGGGCGCUGGAGAACUGAGGGGGGCUGCUCCUAGUACGAGAGGACCGGAGUGGACGCAUCACUGGUGUUCGGGUUGUCAUGCCAAUGGCACUGCCCGGUAGCUAAAUGCGGAAGAGAUAAGUGCUGAAAGCAUCUAAGCACGAAACUUGCCCCGAGAUGAGUUCUCCCUGACUCCUUGAGAGUCCUGAAGGAACGUUGAAGACGACGACGUUGAUAGGCCGGGUGUGUAAGCGCAGCGAUGCGUUGAGCUAACCGGUACUAAUGAACCGUGAGGCUUAACCUU